Saccostrea cuccullata (small rock oyster) is the source of this 1293-nucleotide long non-coding RNA. RefSeq lists it as uncharacterized. NCBI's taxonomy places the organism in Eukaryota, Metazoa, Mollusca, Bivalvia, Ostreida, Ostreidae. The record is from RefSeq and is a predicted model, not a curated record. The transcript has 4 exons.
CCCCCCCCCCCCCCCCGGAACAGACAACAUACUCAUACGUGUAUCACCCAUUGUUUACACAUGUAUCAUGUAGAUUAAAUGUAUCAAUUUAUAAAAUUUAUUUAUUCAGAAUCAUAAAUGUAUAAUUUGAUUAAGAAGCAAUUGUAUAGAAGUAUAUGCUCCACUGUGGUUUAUUUUCAAUACACAAAAAUUCACAAAUGUGUUCGGGAUCGGUAUUCAAUCGGGGUCAAGGUCGAAGUGAAAGUAGACUUAGCAGAAAGUUGUCAAAAGUGUUCAGUGCAUUGUUUAGCAGUAUAUAGGUGAUGGGAAUUUGUAUGUUACACAGGAGGCAAGAGGUCCAUGCAGAUGGUGUUUAAAACUAUUGGCCAGCAAAUGCACGCCCAUUUGAAUAGAUCUUGAAACAGCACCAGCAAAGUGUGACAGUCGGCAAAAUGUAGGUUCCCGCAGACAGACGCAUUUUGCCGGAAAACGAAUCUGACAUGCCACCUCGAGAUUUUAACCAAGGAAAGACAGGUUGAUGUGCUUUGAUUUGAGGGGUCACUCACUUCUGAACGAAAAUUAGGGACAUCGCUAUGAGAAGAAACGUUAACAUUGUCGCCUAUGGGAAAACAAUUAGUGGACUGUACCCAUAUUAGGAAGCCUAUAGGUCCAUGCAGAUGGUGUUUAAAACUAUUGGCCAGCAAAUGCACGCCCAUUUGAAUAGAUCUUGAAACAGCACCAGCAAAGUGUGACAGUCGGCAAAAUGUGUAAGUUAAAGUUUUCUAAAAAAAAAAAUUCAUUGAAGUGGGGGAUGGGGUGGGGGUGAGGAAAUUUACAUAUUGAAUAGGUGAUCAGAAUGUGAAAGUAUUUAGCUAUAACUAAUCUGUACAUGCACUGCUAUAUACAUUUUGCAGCUCAUAUACAUUUUAUUUAUUUAUUUAAGAAUUUCAAAUUAAUUAGAUCUACAUCUUUGUUUUGUAAAUUAUGCAUUAUUAAGAUUACACGGAUAUAAGAAUUGAAAUUUCAUGAAUAUUUGACAGUCAAAAUUAUGCGAUUUGUCAGAAAAUUCAAAAUUUUGUCUCAUUUUCCUACAAAUUACAAAAUGGUUACCAUGGAAACAAAACAACUUUAGUGGAUUAUUUAUUUAAUCUGCAAAACCACAUAUUUUCAUUUUUUUAAAGUUAAUAAUAGUAUAUAAGCACUGAUUUUGUCUUAAAUAAAAAGUACGGGAAAAGUAAUGAUACACAUGUAUUGAGGUAUCCAUUAUUAUGAUGUCAUUGUGACGUCAUAGAUGAGUAAAUUUGCAUUGGUAUA